Molecule: ribosomal RNA, 445 nt
Filed under: uncultured bacterium
Lineage: Bacteria
Description: bacterial SSU rRNA
Rfam family: Bacterial small subunit ribosomal RNA
Source: RNAcentral
GGAAUCUUGCACAAUGGGCGAAAGCCUGAUGCAGCGACGCCGCGUGGGGGAUGAAGGCCUUAGGGUCGUAAACCCCUUUCAGCAGGGACGAAAAUGACGGUACCUGCAGAAGAAGCCCCGGCCAACUACGUGCCAGCAGCCGCGGUAAGACGUAGGGGGCGAGCGUUGUCCGGAUUUAUUGGGCGUAAAGAGCUCGUAGGCGGUUGCGUAAGUCGGAUGUGAAAACUCAGGGCUCAACCCUGAGACGCCAUCCGAUACUGCGCUGACUUGAAUCCAGUAGGGGAGUGUGGAAUUCCUGGUGUAGCGGUGAAAUGCGCAGAUAUCAGGAGGAACACCCAUGGCGAAGGCAGCACUCUGGGCUGGUAUUGACGCUCAUGCACGAAAGCGUGGGGAGCAAACAGGAUUAGAUACCCACGUAGUCCCUGAGCGGGCUGGCAAGGCGCAU